Molecule: ribosomal RNA, 481 nt
Filed under: Segatella buccae
Lineage: Bacteria; Pseudomonadati; Bacteroidota; Bacteroidia; Bacteroidales; Prevotellaceae
Description: bacterial SSU rRNA
Rfam family: Bacterial small subunit ribosomal RNA
Source: RNAcentral
GAUGAACGCUGGCUACAGGCUUAACACAUGCAAGUCGAGGGGCAGCAUGCCGGUUGCUUGCAACCGGUGAUGGCGACCGGCGCACGGGUGAGUAACGCGUAUCCAACCUUCCCGCGACCAAGGGAUAACCUGCCGAAAGGCAGACUAAUACCUUAUGUCCUCCUUUGAAGGCAUCUGACGAGGAGCAAAGAUCCGUCGGUCACGGAUGGGGAUGCGUCCGAUUAGCUUGUUGGCGGGGCAACGGCCCACCAAGGCAUCGAUCGGUAGGGGUUCUGAGAGGAAGGCCCCCCACACUGGAACUGAGACACGGUCCAGACUCCUACGGGAGGCAGCAGUGAGGAAUAUUGGUCAAUGGGCGGAAGCCUGAACCAGCCAAGUAGCGUGCAGGAUGACGGCCCUACGGGUUGUAAACUGCUUUUAUGCGGGGAUAAGGUUGCCCACGUGUGGGUUUUUGCAGGUACCGCAUGAAUAAGGCAAAGGG